GACUUCUUCUCAAGUUAUACGGUUAUUAAAAUCAGUUACAGUUAUUAUUGUUAGUUAUGUUCUUUGACUAUUCGAGUUUCUUAAAAGACCAGGUCAGUAAAAAAUAAGAGUUAAAACGGCUAAUAUUUAAAAGCUGAGGAUUUUUUUUUAGCUCAAUCACGAGUUUGAACUUUUUUGGCUUUAAUUUGAAAGUUAAAGAUUUUAAUGACUAUUUUCUCAUAAAUAUAGAUAUUUUCUGUCUUUUUUACAAGCAAGUCUUCUACAAAAAAAAAAUGUUGAAGACCGAAACGGACAAAACAUAUAUGUUUCCAUAGAUUUUCAGUGUUCAAAUCAAUAAUAAAUUGAAAAAAAAAUCACAAAUAUUUGGAAACGAGAAAAAAAAAAGAAUGCAUAAUGCUAAACUCAAAAGAAUGAUAAUUUUGGGGAAAACAAUUUUAGGUAAAUGAAAUGACUAAAAACUUUGAGAGUGGAAAGGAGAUGACCAGAGAAAUAGUCAGAAAAUGUGGAUGAACCUUACCUAGGUUUUGAUGUCAAGUAUAAUGAUGGUAUCUGAUUGUAUAAAAAGUCGAUUGCUUAGACCAUUUCAAAUGUAUUUCUUUAUUUCUUCGUCUAUAUAGAAGUGAGUUUAUAUCCAAUGUAUUUUUCUAUUUCUUCUUCUAUAAAACAAUAUUCUUAAAAGAUUCUUUUAUAUAACACAUUUAACUUAUAAAUGUUGCAAAUUAAUCCAUUUAUUAUAACUUUUGGUUCUUUUCAUAAAAUUGCAAUAUUAUUUAAAUUAAACAUUUUAUUACAAAAUAUAUUAGAAAAUUAUAAUAAAGCAAAAUAAACAUUAUCUAAACAUCAUCAUUACUAUAUUUUCCCAUAAAUGAUCAAUUAAUGCAUUCCGAAAUGAAAAAGAACUUCCUUAUCUUUGAUUUUUCUGAACCGACUUAGAAAUUCUUGGAACAUGUUAUAUUCAUCGUCUGGUAUUUGGACUUUUGGAGGUGGAGCUUCUCUUCUAAUUUCAAUCGAUGAAUCGAGAUCACGCUCAUCCUCAAUUGUCAUAUUAUGUAAAAUUAUACAUGUAGUCAUUAUUAUGUAGUACUUUUUUCCAGAAACGUACCGGGUCUUUUCACAAUAGCAAAACGUGAUUGUAAAACUUUGAAUGCAUGUUUUACAUAUUUCCUACAUGCUUCUUGUUGCGCUGCAAAAUAUUUUUUUCUUUGGACCUAUUGACUCAUGAAUAGUUUGCACUAUGGUUGAGAAUUUUGGAUAUAUACCAUCAGCCAAAUAAUAUCUCAUAUUAUAUUUUUUGCCUUGAAUAACAUAAUGAACAGGAGGAGCAAUACCUUGAACGAGAUUGGAAAAAAAGGUGAGAAGACUCCAGCACAUUAAUAUCAUUAUUAGUCCAUGGCAAGCCAAAAUAUGCAUGACAUAUCCAAAUAUCAUAUCAUCCAAAGCUGUUUCAAUAUGUUGUAUUGAUUAAUAUUUAAGUUUCAUUUUAAUAUUUUAUCAAUAUGUAAAAUUAUGUGGAACUUUUAAUAAUUAAAUUUUAAUUAAUAGUUUUAAUUAUCAAUAUAAAAUUUUAGAUAUCAUUCAUUAAAUAAAAAGUCUGACUUUAAAUAAAAUAAUUAAUAUGUAAACAUAAAAUAAUUAGAUAUCUUUUUUAUUUAUUUUAUUUAUAAUUAUAAAAAUUAAAAAUUAGUAGUUAAACAAAAAGCUUAUAAUUUAUAUGUAAAAAUUGUAUUUCUUCAUAAACAUGUAUUUUAAAUAUAAUCACAAAAGCUAAAGGACUAUUUUGUAAAUAAAAAAGUAUGUCUAUAUUAUAGAGAAAUGCUAUUUUUUUUUUCCUAAAUAAAGAUGAAAAAAUAACAAUCUCUAUUAUAAGGGAAGAAAUAGAGGUGGGUUGGAGUAGAUUUUCUUCUAUUAUAGCAUAUAGAUGCAAAUAUAUGGAGGGAUUGGAGAUGUUCUUAGUGGAGAUGGAUCUAUACUUGUAGAAGUUACUUAAUCUUGGUUAGGGUACCAAAUGAUGAAGGUUGUAUCUGUAUCGUUUGAAACUUUGAAUUAUUUGGACUAAUAUGGAAAGGAAAUGUCAUCUUGAAUCCUAGUGAAACAUUAGCGUUGUUCUCUGAAAAUUUGUAGAGGUUUUUUUUUUACAUAAACAUAGGUCUUCAAAUUGUGAAAAAGAAGUUUUUACUAAAAUUCUUUAAAAAUGGUCAAGCCGCCAAAAUCUAAAAUCCGGCCCUAUAUAGAACAAAUAAAAAAGAGUUAUAGAACCAUGGAGAACAAGGGGUUCAGUAACUAUGGAGGUUAGAGCGCUAACGUGAAAUUAUUUUUGGUCGGGAGCAAUAAUGUAAUUAGGUUCCCAAAAUACUGUAUACCUCUUAAUUUGCUUUUAACAAAUACACUUCAGACUUAAAUUAUGUUAGUUUUGUAUUUGGUUACAAUAUCUAGAUGUACCAUCUCAAUACAACAUUUGGAUGUAUUCGUUUUUAUAGUUUGUAUUUACAUCUAGAUACAUCAUCUAGAUGCUAAUUUAUUCGUUUUCUAUUUUAUAAUAACAUUUGAAUAUUACUAGUUAAUUAUAAAUAAAAAAUUAUAUAAUAAAGAAUUAAUUAAUUAUCUUAUUUCAAUAAAUAUGUCUAAAUUAUAGUUAAAUUAAAAUAGUUAUUAAAUUUAAAUAUUUUUUGGAAAAUCUGAUUUUAAGGUUUUGACCGUAAAUCCGAUUUACAUUUUUUGAAGGAAAUCAUAUUUUAUGGUUUUGGCGGAAUAUUGUGAUUUAAAAAAUUUGGCGGGAAAAUUUGAUUGUUUGAUUUUGGUGGAAAAAUGUGAUUUUGCAUUUUGAGUGGAAAAUCUAAUUUUAAAGAUUUGGUGGGGAAAAAUAUAAUUUGGGUGUUUUGGGAGAAAACUCAAUUUUGUAGUUUAGGUGGAAAAUUUAAUUUUGUUUUUUUGGCGGAAGACGUAACUUUGCGGUUUUGGUGAUGUGAUUUUAUAGUUUUCCGCAAAAACCCGAUUUACUCUUUUGGUGGAAAACUUGAAUUUGCAUUUUUGACAGAAAACUUAUUUUUUGGUUUCAGCGGAAAUUUUGAUUUUAUGGGAUUGGCGACAACAGGAUUUUACGAUAUUGGUAGAAAACAUGAUUUUAUGAUUUGGCGAAAUUCUUUAUUUUUUUUGACGAAAACGUGAUUUUGCAGUUUUGGUAGAAAAUAUGAUUUUACAGUUUUGAAAUGAAAAUUUGAAAUUUGGUUUUUGUGGAAACAUUUGAUUUUGCGGUUUUGGCAAAAAAAAUCAUUGCAUGAUUUUAUGGAAAACAUGAUUUUACAGUUUUGACAUAAAAGCUCAAUUUUACGGAUCUGGUAAAAAAAUCAAAGUUUACAAUUUUAGCGAAAAACUCGAUUUAACGGUUUUGGGGAAAAAACUCAAUUUUAUUAUUUUUGCCAAAAACUCUAUUUUAUAAUUUCAUCAAAAACUAUAUAUAUAAUAAAAAUAAAAUAAACUAGUUAUUUGUAUAUAUUGCUGAAUGAUAUUUUAUUCUUUUGAAUUUUGAGAUGCAAAUGUUGCAUUCAAACUCCAUAUUUUUGCAUCAUAAAUAUUUGAAUUAAUGAAUUUUUAUCUAGAUAUAUUAUCUAAAUGUUGAUGUAAUAGUGUGUAGACAAACAACUUCCGAGCAUUUGCAUCCAGGUGCAUCAUUAAUGCAUCAUUAAAAGCAAAUAGUGCUUAAUACCUGAAUUUACUUUUCAUGGUUUUAUAACAAAUACUAAAGAGUUUUGAUGGAAUCAAAUAUAAUUAGUGGUUGGGUUACAUUUUUUUUUUUAUGUCACAGGCUGAGUCACAUCUAAGAAAUAAAUUUCCUAAACAACUGUUAGUUAAUUAUAAUGUAAUCAGAUCCUGACAUUAUAACAAGCACCCAAACGAGUGUCAGAGUGCGUAACACGUGUCAACUUCCGAACUAAUAUAGGAACUUCCUCCACCAAACACAAAUGAAUUCAUUAGGAAUUCUCACUUAUGUUUUCAUUUUACGAAUUUUUACUUAUGUUUUCAAGUGUGUAUCUGAAUAGGAACUUCCUCUCUCUUUCUUAAUUUUUUCUAAACUUCGUGUUCGGUGGCUGACGGCAGCUUUGCUGUCGGUCACCACUAACUCUUGUUUUCGUUGUACAUAAUAGAUCUACGAAUCGAUCUUUUGUUAUGGUGAUUUGAGUAGGCUCCUUCGUUUACUGUUCACUUUCAUCCCUCUCAAAGAGAAUCAGUCUUCUUUGUCAGUAAGCCGGUUAUGGCAUUGAGGAUAGCAUCUCUGAUUGGGAGUUGAUGAGGUUUGAUGGAUUGUUUUAGCCAUUUGUGAAGUCGAUUAAGAAGAGUUGGCGUUCUACGGUCCAACAAAUAGUCGGUCUUCCGUUUGGUUUAUGUGUCCUUUUCUUUGGAAUUUCGGUGAAUUAAGGUAAUACUAAUCAAGUAACCGAGGCUUAGUUAUAAGGCAUCAUGGUAUAAGCGAUUAGAACAGCGACAUAGAAGAAGAAGAGACUUUGAGGUGGGUUUGCUAGAAUCACGGUGAAGAAGUCAUCUCGACGUUUGUUCCUGCCAGCUCAUUGUAGAAGAACACGUGUGGUCUAUAUGUUAUUCUUUGAAGUGUUCAUAUUCGACACGUGUUACAAACCACUUCCAAUUUUUAAUAUAUAUGUAACUAGAUUUUGACCCGCACAUUCGUGCGGAUAUUUUUCAUUUUAUGAAUGUAUACUUUUGAUUUAUUAUAAAUAUUUUAAGUAUAUAAUUUUAAUUUUAGUGUUA
Long non-coding RNA from Brassica napus (rape), 4761 nucleotides. RefSeq lists it as uncharacterized. Lineage: Eukaryota; Viridiplantae; Streptophyta; Magnoliopsida; Brassicales; Brassicaceae. The transcript has 2 exons. The record is from RefSeq and is a predicted model, not a curated record.